This 383-nucleotide long non-coding RNA is filed under the name Nicotiana benthamiana. RNAcentral describes it as "long non-coding RNA (NBEN_LNC034088)". Lineage: Eukaryota; Viridiplantae; Streptophyta; Magnoliopsida; Solanales; Solanaceae. The record is from RNAcentral.
GAUCUCCAACCCCUAUUAUGCAUCCUAUACCCCGUCACCACGUCUUCAGUAACAGAUCCAUAAAUCCAUCCAACUCUAUUACCCCAUUCAGUUUUGUCUUCGUACCAACACGAAAUGACACUGAUUGCUUCAGCAACAGUGGAGGCAUCAAGAAGUUCCCGUGGAAUAGUUAAAGCACCAGGUGGUCGUCGCUUCAGCAACACUGGAGGCAUCAAGAAGUUCCCGUGGAAUAGUUAAAGCACCAGGUGGUCGUCCAUUCUUUACUGCAGGGUGAUCAGCAAGUGGUCUCCCUUGGAAUUCGGCAACCGGAAUCGAAUCAAUGAGGAUACUUGAAUUACCAAACCUUUUAGGAAACAAAGCAAGAUUCAUUUCCUCGUCAUCAA